UCCGGUUUGUCACUGGCAGUCUCAUUAGAGUGCCCAACUGAAUGUAGCAACUAAUGACAAGGGUUGCGCUCGUUGCGGGACUUAACCCAACAUCUCACGACACGAGCUGACGACAGCCAUGCAGCACCUGUGUUCCGAUUCCCUUUCGGGCACACCCAUAUCUCUGGACGCGUCUGGUGCAUGUCAAACCCAGGUAAGGUUCUUCGCGUUGCAUCGAAUUAAUCCACAUGCUCCGCCGCUUGUGCGGGCCCCCGUCAAUUCCUUUGAGUUUCAUUCUUGCGAACGUACUCCCCAGGUGGCUAACUUAUCGCUUUCGCUUGGACGCGCAAGAUCUCUCCCACACGUCGAGUUAGCAUCGUUUAGGGCGUGGACUAC
Molecule: unclassified non-coding RNA, 375 nt
Filed under: uncultured bacterium
Lineage: Bacteria
Description: contains 16S-23S intergenic spacer region
Source: RNAcentral